RNAcentral lists this transfer RNA (75 nucleotides) under Gulosibacter molinativorax. RNAcentral's name for it is "tRNA-Arg". It matches the Rfam family "tRNA". Rfam says of the family: Transfer RNA (tRNA) molecules are approximately 80 nucleotides in length. Their secondary structure includes four short double-helical elements and three loops (D, anti-codon, and T loops). Lineage: Bacteria; Bacillati; Actinomycetota; Actinomycetes; Micrococcales; Microbacteriaceae. The record is from RNAcentral.
GCCUCCGUAGCUCAGUGGAUAGAGCAUCCCUCUCCUAAAGGGUGCGCGCGAGUUCGAUUCUCGCCGGGGGCACUA